CGCCAGACUCCUACGGGAGGCAGCAGUGGGGAAUAUUGCACAAUGGGGGAAACCCUGAUGCAGCGACGCCGCGUGAGUGAAGAAGUAUUUCGGUAUGUAGAGCUCUAUCAGCAGGGAAGAAAAUGACGGUACCUGACUAAGAAGCCCCGGCUAACUACGUGCCAGCAGCCGCGGUAAUACGUAGGGGGCAAGCGUUAUCCGGAUUUACUGGGUGUAAAGGGAGCGUAGACGGCAUGGCAAGUCAGAUGUGAAAGCCCGGGGCUCAACCCCGGGACUUCAUUUGAAACUGUCAGGCUGGAGUGCAGGAGAGGUAAGUGGAAUUCCUAGUGUAGCGGUGAAAUGCGUAGAUAUUAGGAGGAACACCAGUGGCGGAGGCGGCUUACUGGACUGUAACUGACGUUGAGGCUCGAAAGCGUGGGGAGCAAACCGGAUUAGAUACCCUUGUAUGC
Molecule: ribosomal RNA, 449 nt
Filed under: uncultured bacterium
Lineage: Bacteria
Description: bacterial SSU rRNA
Rfam family: Bacterial small subunit ribosomal RNA
Source: RNAcentral